GACGAACCGUGCGAACGUUAUUCGGAAUCACUGGGCUUAAAGGGCGCGUAGGCGGGUCCGCCAGUCUGUGGUGAAAUCCUCCGGCUUAACCGGAGAACUGCCGUGGAUACUGCGGAUCUCGAGGGGUGUAGGGGCAUGCGGAACUCAGGGUGGAGCGGUGAAAUGCGUAGAUAUCCUGAGGAACGCCGGUGGCGAAAGCGGCGUGCUGGACACCUUCUGACGCUGAGGCGCGAAAGCCAGGGGAGCAAACGGG
RNAcentral lists this ribosomal RNA (253 nucleotides) under uncultured bacterium. Its description in RNAcentral is "partial 16S ribosomal RNA". It matches the Rfam family "Bacterial small subunit ribosomal RNA", at positions 524 to 776 of the family's 1533-position model. The record is from RNAcentral.